GAUGAACGCUGGCGGCGUGCCUAAUACAUGCAAGUCGAGCGAACAGACGAGGAGCUUACUCCUCUGACGUUAGCGGCGGACGGGUGAGUAACACGUGGAUAACCUACCUAUAAGACUGGGAUAACUUCGGGAAACCGGAGCUAAUACCGGAUAAAAUGUUGAACCGCAUGGUUCAACAGUGAAAGACGGUCUUGCUGUCACUUAUAGAUGGAUCCGCGUCGCAUUAGCUAGUUGGUAAGGUAACGGCUUACCAAGGCAACGAUGCGUAGCCGACCUGAGAGGGUGAUCGGCCACACUGGAACUGAGACACGGUCCAGACUCCUACGGGAGGCAGCAGUAGGGAAUCUUCCGCAAUGGGCGAAAGCCUGACGGAGCAACGCCGCGUGAGUGAAGAAGGUCUUCGGAUCGUAAAACUCUGUUAUUAGGGAAGAACAAAUGUGUAAGUAACUAUGCACGUCUUGACGGUACCUAAUCAGAAAGCCACGGCUAACUACGUG
This 497-nucleotide ribosomal RNA is filed under the name uncultured bacterium. RNAcentral describes it as "partial 16S ribosomal RNA". It matches the Rfam family "Bacterial small subunit ribosomal RNA", at positions 28 to 507 of the family's 1533-position model. The record is from RNAcentral.